This 518-nucleotide long non-coding RNA is filed under the name Ictidomys tridecemlineatus (thirteen-lined ground squirrel). RNAcentral's name for it is "lncRNA (ENSSTOG00000033256.1)". Lineage: Eukaryota; Metazoa; Chordata; Mammalia; Rodentia; Sciuridae. The record is from RNAcentral.
AGAUCAUUCUCGAUAGGGGAGGUGAAGCUUGAAUAUUUUUGAAGAAUAACUCUGUGCUUAUCAGGUUGAAAGGAUAUGAAAGAAUAUUCCUGGCUGAGGGAGGAAUGUAAACUAUGGAAGAAGGAAUCCGGUCUGUACCAGACACCCUAAAGGAAUGGCAUGUUUAUGCCUGCAGAGGUGGGAGAGUCCACAGAUAAAGACGUCAGAGGCCAAGGAAGGAAGGCCCAUGCUGCCAGGCUGAGGAGUUCAAAGGAUUCCCAAGACAGGAAACAUGCUGGCUGGCUGGCAGGAGGCUCAGCAACUGGCCUUGAACUCUCUUGACCUACCGAAGCUGAGGUUUUCCAUACAAUGCUACUGAGGAGCUCAAGCCGAAUGGAGCUGGCUGAAAUGAAAUAAAAAUAGCCCUUUCCAGUUACGGCUCUGUAGCCAGCAGCUGGAUUGAUAUUCAGAGAGGAUUGGAUUCAAGUAUAAUUGAAUUCAAAGCAUAAUAAAUUGAAGCCAACUCAUUUGACUUAUGA